This 236-nucleotide ribosomal RNA is filed under the name uncultured bacterium. Its description in RNAcentral is "partial 16S ribosomal RNA". It matches the Rfam family "Bacterial small subunit ribosomal RNA", at positions 1267 to 1500 of the family's 1533-position model. The record is from RNAcentral.
GCAAAACUCAAAAACUUAGUCUCAGUUCGGAUUGUAGGCUGAAACUCGCCUACAUGAAGCUGGAGUUGCUAGUAAUCGCGAAUCAGCAUGUCGCGGUGAAUACGUUCCCGGGCCUUGUACACACCGCCCGUCACACCAUGAGAGUUGGCAAUACCCAACGUACGUGAUCUAACCCGCAAGGGAGGAAGCGUCCUAAGGUAGGGUCAGCGAUUGGGGUGAAGUCGUAACAAGGUAAC